UGGAAGAUGCCCUAGAGAGGAGAGGGGUU
This 29-nucleotide non-coding RNA is filed under the name Homo sapiens (human). The record is from RNAcentral. Lineage: Eukaryota; Metazoa; Chordata; Mammalia; Primates; Hominidae.